CUGCAAGGUAAACAUCCAAUGAGUUGUUAAGUGGUUCGGCUAGAUAUUCGUCGUCUUAACUGUGGACUAACACCCAGCAUUUAUGCUACUAAGGACUUCUGACUGACCUCACUUCAUUGGCUCUCAGGUCCUCUGACCAGAUGGUUUCGAUGUUGCACGAUGCACACACCAUCAGGAGCAAAGCGAGAAGAAAACUCAUGUUGUUGUUGCUCCAUGAAGUUUGGAGUAAUUUAGUUCUAUACACAAGUGUUUUGACAUGUUCAUAAUCCUGGUUGAAUAUUAUUGUCUUUGGCAUUUAUUUAUUAUCAUAAAAUGAAUCUGAUUAAUUCGAAAA
Molecule: long non-coding RNA, 334 nt
Organism: Eleginops maclovinus (Patagonian blennie)
Lineage: Eukaryota; Metazoa; Chordata; Actinopteri; Perciformes; Eleginopidae
Exons: 2
Source: RefSeq, a predicted model, not a curated record